CUGUAACUUCAAAAGGCUUUUUCCAGAUUAGUGUCUGGAUGGACAAACAAUGUGCUGGAUUGAUGAGCAGCACGUUUCUCCUUCAAUGAACUGAACCUUUGCUUUCAUUCUUAAGUGGAAUACGGACUGCAGCCCAUCACACCAGUUUAACAUGAAGAUGAGAAGGACGAGGUGAAGCUGAGCUCUGGCCUGAAGAGGUAUUACGUCAAUGUUUGUUAGCAGAGAGAAUGACAUUCUUCUUUAUAUUGUGGCAACCCACGAAGCAGCACCCUGGACAGCGCCUCAAGAGACCAGCACCAAGGUCUGGGGCACCGACGAGCCAGAGUGGCGGAGUAACAGGGACUCCUCGAGGCAACUAGCAGACCGGUUUACAACCUGAUGACAGCGGGGACGGCCAAUCACACGAGCAACAGCAG
This is a long non-coding RNA of Gasterosteus aculeatus aculeatus (three-spined stickleback), 416 nucleotides long. Lineage: Eukaryota; Metazoa; Chordata; Actinopteri; Perciformes; Gasterosteidae. The record is from Ensembl.